UGUUUCUAUUUUUGGGCAGCAAUGUAGUGCCGCCUCCACGUGGCGCUGCCUGGGAUCACUAGUGGUUACUACUGCUAGUGAUGCUAAGAGCACUACAUACAAAAAGAAGAAUAACAUAAUAACAGCUGCAAUUAAAAUGAAAAGUCAAGUGGAUUGAUACUCAAGACUGAAGCUAGAGAUUUAUAUACUAGUUUUAAUUUUUUGAAAAAUAAUUUUUUUUAAUUUU
Molecule: long non-coding RNA, 226 nt
Filed under: Amphimedon queenslandica
Lineage: Eukaryota; Metazoa; Porifera; Demospongiae; Haplosclerida; Niphatidae
Description: uncharacterized LOC109580852
Source: RNAcentral